This 420-nucleotide ribosomal RNA is filed under the name uncultured bacterium. RNAcentral's name for it is "bacterial SSU rRNA". It matches the Rfam family "Bacterial small subunit ribosomal RNA", at positions 355 to 773 of the family's 1533-position model. The record is from RNAcentral.
UAAGGAAUAUUGGUCAAUGGACGCAAGUCUGAACCAGCCAUGCCGCGUGAAGGAUGAAGGUCCUCUGGAUUGUAAACUUCUUUUAUCUGGGACGAAAACGGGAUUUUUAUCUCAAUUGACGGUACCAGAGGAAUAAGCACCGGCUAACUCCGUGCCAGCAGCCGCGGUAAUACGGAGGGUGCGAGCGUUAUCCGGAUUUACUGGGUUUAAAGGGUGCGUAGGUGGGCUUAUAAGUCAGUGGUGAAAUCUCCGAGCUUAACUUGGAAGCUGCCGUUGAUACUAUAGGUCUUGAAUUAUCUGGAGGUAAGCGGAAUAUGUCAUGUAGCGGUGAAAUGCUUAGAUAUGACAUAGAACACCAAUUGCGAAGGCAGCUUACUACAUAUAAAUUGACGCUGAGGCACGAAAGCGUGGGGAUCAAAC